ACGGGAGGCAGCAGUGAGGAAUAUUGGUCAAUGGACGGAAGUCUGAACUAGCCAAGUCGCGUGGAGGAUGAAGGUAUUAUGUAUUGUAAACUUCUUUAGCAGUGGAGUAAUAAGGUGGUCGUGACCACUGAUGCAAGUACACUGAGAAUAAGGAUCGGCUAACUCCGUGCCAGCAGCCGCGGUAAUACGGAGGAUCCGAGCGUUAUCCGGAUUUAUUGGGUUUAAGGGUGCGCAGGCGGCUUUUUAAGUCAGUGGUUAAAUCGUGACGCUCAACGUCAUCACGCCAUUGAUACUGGAGAGCUUGAUCGCGGUCGAGGUUUGCGGAAUUCGUUGUGUAGCGGUGAAAUGCAUAGAUAUGACGAAGAACACCGAUUGCGUAGGCAGCAGACCAGGCCGUAAAUGACGCUCAUGCACGAAAGUGCGGGGAUCGAACAGGAUUAGAUACCCUGGUA
This 452-nucleotide ribosomal RNA is filed under the name uncultured Porphyromonadaceae bacterium. RNAcentral's name for it is "partial 16S ribosomal RNA". It matches the Rfam family "Bacterial small subunit ribosomal RNA", at positions 341 to 792 of the family's 1533-position model. Lineage: Bacteria; Pseudomonadati; Bacteroidota; Bacteroidia; Bacteroidales; Porphyromonadaceae. The record is from RNAcentral.